GACAGCAGUCGCCGCGGUAAUACGUAGGUGGCAAGCGUUGUCCGGAAUUAUUGGGCGUAAAGGGCUCGCAGGCGGUUUCUUAAGUCUGAUGUGAAAGCCCCCGGCUCAACCGGGGAGGGUCAUUGGAAACUGGGAAACUUGAGUGCAGAAGAGGAGAGUGGAAUUCCACGUGUAGCGGUGAAAUGCGUAGAGAUGUGGAGGAACACCAGUGGCGAAGGCGACUCUCUGGUCUGUAACUGACGCUGAGGAGCGAAAGCGUGGGGAGCGAACAGGAUUAGAUACCCCCGUAGUCCCUGUCUCUUAUAC
RNAcentral lists this ribosomal RNA (306 nucleotides) under uncultured bacterium. RNAcentral's name for it is "partial 16S ribosomal RNA". It matches the Rfam family "Bacterial small subunit ribosomal RNA", at positions 507 to 807 of the family's 1533-position model. The record is from RNAcentral.